Long non-coding RNA from Portunus trituberculatus (swimming crab), 1060 nucleotides. RefSeq lists it as uncharacterized. Lineage: Eukaryota; Metazoa; Arthropoda; Malacostraca; Decapoda; Portunidae. The transcript has 2 exons. The record is from RefSeq and is a predicted model, not a curated record.
AUGGACUCAGGGGUAGUCCUACACCAAGGGCAGAAGGGGUCACAAGACACGUAGGCGCUGCAAGUGAGCACUGAGCGUGGUGUGGCCCCAGGGCCCGUAUUUAUAAAACUAUGAUUCGACAUAAGGGAAACAUAAGUUCACAAGAUGGCGGACACCAUGACUUACAUGAAACAUAAGUCUUAUGUCUCACGUUAGGUCAUCAUAAACUCGCAUUCCCGUUAUGUUUGGGUGGGAGCAAGAAUAGCAUCGCUAUGUCGAAUCAUAGUCAACAUGGCGGAGGCAGUGGGACAGAGACGACGCUACCUGAGAAGUUUUCGUGAUCGUAGAGACGUGUUGGCUGAACUAAGUGACUCAGAACUGAUAAGAGAUGGUGCUCAACCUCUACAACCCGUUGCUACAUCAUCCACUGAGACGGUGGAUGUCUCGGCACCAGCAGGAGGUUCAGCCGUUAGGCAUUGGAAGUGCUGCGGUAGCAUUUCCAUCUGUACUGUUAUGAACAAUGACAACAAAUGUUAGUUAAACCAUCACAAGCAAAUUUAUUGCAGAUCUAUCUCACUGUCUAUAUAAGAGGUAAACAAUCCUUUCAAGCAGGAAGUAUCUUCCUGCCCCCCAUACUCCUCAUACACAGUGUAUAUGGUGUGUGUGUGAUUGCCUCAUUUUUGCUGUCUUCCUCCUGGAGGAGGGUGUUGGCUUUGUCUAUACAUAGAUAGAUAGUUAAUGUCCUUACACUUCAGUUUUAAAGAUAUUUUGUAUGCUCUUAAUGAUAUUUUCAGCAGUAGGGUAAUGUGCUGUUAUUGUGUUGCAGACAGGUACGGAGUGCACUUGUCAUUAAGACACAUUCAUGUGUGGAUGCAUUUCUUGUGAGCUACCAUUUCCAACCUUCCAUAAUUGAAUAUCAACAUAGGAAAUUCUUCAUAUCAAUGAGACCCAUCAAUUUGAUUAGGUUAAGUUACUGGAAAUUAUACUCUGUUAGUUUAGAGUUAAAGUUAGUUAUGUGUAAGGUGGCAGAAGUUGUCCUUUAUACCUGGAAGCAUUAAAUACAAUAAAUGGAUAGUUUGUU